This 165-nucleotide ribosomal RNA is filed under the name Dothideomycetes sp. RNAcentral's name for it is "partial large subunit ribosomal RNA". It matches the Rfam family "Eukaryotic large subunit ribosomal RNA", at positions 99 to 261 of the family's 3401-position model. The record is from RNAcentral. Lineage: Eukaryota; Fungi; Ascomycota; Dothideomycetes.
CGGCAACAGCUCAAAUUUGAAAUCUGGUCCUUUCAGGGCCCGAAUUGUAAUUUGUAGAGGAUGCUUCGGGGACUGCUCCGGUCUAAGUGCCUUGGAACAGGACGUCACAGAGGGUGAGAAUCCCAUAUGUGGUCGGUCGCCGUCCCCAUGUGAAGCUCCUUCGAC